UCCUCUAACCUCCACAAGUGUGCUGUGCCAUGUGAAGUCCGCACCCCCACAUGCAUGCACACACACAUACACACUCACACAUACACACACACUCACACACAUGCACAUAAAUAAAUGUAACAAAAUGUUUUCCUUUUUGAAAAUAUAUUUUUAUUGAAUUUUUGUGGAUUUCAUAAAAUGCAUCUUAAUCAUAUUUAAACCCAUACCUGUCUCUAUUGGAUGGUGAGGCCAAUAGGGGUACUUAUUCUUGUCUAAUUUGGUUUCUGGGAAGAUUUCAUUCAAAUAUUCAAUGGUCAUCUGAUCAAAAGGAAUCAUGUUCUUCAUUUUCUCAAGCUGCUUCUCAUAGUCCUGGAUCCUGACCUUUGACUCAGACAGGAACUCAGCACAAUUCUUCACCUUCUUUUCAAAAUCAUCCACCAAGCCUGCCCUGGCCACAUUGGCCUUGUAGUAAGCCCACUCGGUCUCUGGUGGUUUCUCAGACACAGCAGCCAACCUGGAGUUGAAGGUCUCAUUCCAGGACAUCAGGGAACUAUCAAUAGCUUUUUGAUUUCGGGGUAUUAUCUCCCCAAAAGCCAUCCAAUCAAUAGCUUUUAGAGCAAGUUUACGUCCAGCCAUCUUGGAAUCCUUCACCAUCCCCGACUUGUCAGUCUUGCUAGAUAUUUGUAGAUUUUGGUGAUAUUUAAAAGUAAAACAAGCUUUUUGUUUCAUUGAUCGGUUUUCCCUAUUGUUUUUUGGUUGUCAAUAACAUUGAUUGUUUGCUUCUAUUAUUUUCUGUCUUUUGCUUGUUUUGAGUUCAUUUUUUACUUUUUGUCCUUUUCCUAAGUUCUCGAAGUGGGUAGUUAUUUUACUGAUUUGAGAGUUUUCACUUCUCUGAUGUAAACAUUUAGUGUUAUAAAUUUCUCUUUCAGCUUUAUCUGGAUCUCACAUAUCUUCAUUUAAAUUCAAUUCAAUGUUUUGUUUUCUGUCUUCCUUCAGA
Molecule: long non-coding RNA, 976 nt
Filed under: Nannospalax galili (Upper Galilee mountains blind mole rat)
Lineage: Eukaryota; Metazoa; Chordata; Mammalia; Rodentia; Spalacidae
Description: lncRNA (ENSNGAG00000024592.1)
Source: RNAcentral